CCUAUGGGAGGCAGCAGUGGGGAAUUUUCCGCAAUGGGCGAAAGCCUGACGGAGCAAUGCCGCGUGGAGGUAGAAGGCCCACGGGUCGUAAACUCCUUUUCUCAGAGAAGAAGCAAUGACGGUAUCUGAGGAAUAAGCAUCGGCUAACUCUGUGCCAGCAGCCGCGGUAAU
This 171-nucleotide ribosomal RNA is filed under the name uncultured bacterium WkB42. RNAcentral describes it as "partial 16S ribosomal RNA". It matches the Rfam family "Bacterial small subunit ribosomal RNA", at positions 338 to 524 of the family's 1533-position model. The record is from RNAcentral.